CCUGUAAUAUGCAAUCGCCCUGGAGUGCAGCCUUUCUCCUUUGUGCUCACAGAGGAGGCCAAUCAGACCUCAGUUCUCCUCUGGUCUCCGACAAGAAUCCACAUUGUGGAUUUGCAGAGAGGUACCAUGAAGUAGCCGUCCAGUGGUUCUGUUUUAGAACCCGGGGUUCAGGCAGAGGAAGAGGACCACACCUUGCCUGAUGAAGAGGUGCCAAUUGUGUGGCAUUUUCCCAUGUUGGAAGAAGAUCCCGGCCCCAGACUUCCUAUGUGCUGAAUGCCGGUCCUACCUUGGGCUGAUGACAUGCAAAGCAAACUCCAGUGGGAUUUCUUGACAGAGCCUUAUCUUGGGAAGGAGAAGCCAUCCAGAGUGUAACUGAGGAUCCUGUGUUUAAUUUGUGGUUCUGCUCCUGAGCAGUUUGAGAAGAUGGGAAAGCAAUUCUCUUACCUCUCCUGCCAGCCUCAGGCCUGAGUGUCCUUCAACUGGGGAAUGAAGUAUGUAACCGAGAUAUGUGUGUGUGUGACUAAUCCUGUUAAGCCAUGGUGUAAUUGUGGCUCUAAUUUGCUGGAGGUAUCGGCAAAGUCAAGUUCAAAAAAGUCACUCAAAAGGGACCAAACACCCACUUGAGACAGCUGCUGCAUAGGGAAAGCUUUUGCACAAUCCCCUCACACACUGAAAGAGGGUCCCUUCUGCCAGGGAUUUCGCUCAGUGGUUCCAGCACCUGCCUUACAAGAGCAAGGUCCGGAGUUCAAUCCCCGGUACCAAAAAAAACCAAAAAC
This 776-nucleotide long non-coding RNA is filed under the name Heterocephalus glaber (naked mole-rat). RNAcentral describes it as "lncRNA (ENSHGLG00100038161.1)". The record is from RNAcentral. Lineage: Eukaryota; Metazoa; Chordata; Mammalia; Rodentia; Bathyergidae.